Molecule: long non-coding RNA, 16854 nt
Filed under: Panax ginseng (ginseng)
Lineage: Eukaryota; Viridiplantae; Streptophyta; Magnoliopsida; Apiales; Araliaceae
Description: long non-coding RNA (PGIN_LNC011315)
Source: RNAcentral
AAAAUAAUUGGACGGAUAAGGAAGGAGAGGGAAUAUGUAGCUGCAGGCAAGUCAAGCGUGGGAUUUUUCAGUUACUCUGACCCUUCCUUCUCUCAAUAACGCUCAGAAAAUCAAUUGUACACCAUUAGUCCUCUCAUUCUUCAGUUCAUCUUAAACCGUAUCUUAUUAUCUUAAACCUUCAGUAAAACUCAGAAAACACAGAGAGGAAGAGAGAGUAAAAUGGGUUUCUGUGAAAUUUGAAAGGAAAGCUUCGGGAGAACUCAAGGAAUGAAAAGGGGGGAUUUUAGCAAGUUUAUCUAGCAGUUAAGGGAAUCUAAGAGGUAAGAAAGGAACUCUGAAAUUCAUAAUUUCUAUUUCGUAAGUAUUGCACUGUUAGAAAUUGUUUUGGUCUGUCUAGAAAGUUAUUAUGGUUGUGAUUUUAGUUUAAAAUCUUGAUUUGAUAGUAGUACGAAAAAUUUUCGAAUUUGAAUGAAUCAAAAUGGACUUAAAACGAAUCCUUGGAAGAUUAAGUAAAACAUGUAAAAAUAUGAAAAUAUGAUAAUCUAGCAUUGUGACAACCUGAAAAAUUAUAAGAUCUUGAACGAUUAAAUUAAAGGUUGUCUAAAACCUAGAGUGAAAAUAGAGAAUUUAUUAAAAUUUUAAAGAAGAACCUAAAUGGUUUACUAUGUGAAAGACAAUUGAGAAAAUAUGGAUUACAAAAUUCAAAAUCCUGGAAUGGAAUUAUAAGUAUUAUGUUACCUUUAACUUUAUAUGAAUUAAUGAAAGAGAUUAUGAAAUGAUAUAUAUGGAAAAGGUUUAAAACGGGAAUACAGUUUAAUACAGUUUCAAUUCAACUUGCUGAAUUAGUGAAUUUAUCUUUGCUGAAUUGGAAUUCGGUUUACUGAAUUAGUAUACACUUUGAAUCCAGGUUGCUGGAUUGGAGGUCAGUUUGAAUCCAGUUUGCUGAAUUGGAAAAACAGUUUACUGAAUUGAAAUUCAGUUUGAAUCUAGGUUGCUGGAUUAGUUAUGUCAGUUUCGUUGUGUUGGGAAACAACAAGUUGUUUGAAUAAUCUAGGAUGUUGGAUUAGGUAUUCGGCUUACUUGAUUAUAUAUAAGAACUUAUGAGAUGAUAGGUUAAGUGUUAGAUCAUAAUGUGUACAAUAAAGAGAAAUAAUAAGGAUAAAGAGGAUGAGUGUAUAUAUAUAUAUAUAUAUAUAUAUAUAUAUAUAUAUAUAUAUAUAUAUAUAAGCAUAUAUAUACAUAUACUUAAAAAUGUUAAUUAAAUUGAUCAUACAAGAUUAAUGGAAAGCUUAAUUAAUCAAGCUUAUAGAAGCUAAGCAUGAAUGGUAGUGUAAGAGAACUUAAAAAUAUUAAAUUGGGAAGAGAUAAGUUAGGUGUUGUGGUGAUAAUUAAAAUAAACAUAACCUAGUGGGAAAGUAUUAUAAAUUUAAUAAAAAGUCCCAGAAAAGGAUUAAAAUUAUGACAAGACAGACUUAUAUUUAUGCCAAGCCUAAUAUAUGAAAAUAUUAAUUAUUUACCAACGAAGUGAAUAAUUGUGACUUAUGUGAGGUAUGUAUGUGAUUAAAUAAAUAUAUAUUGUAAAUCUGCAUAUAUUUAUUUAUAAUUAUUUAGAGAGGAUUGAAAAGAAAACUAUUUAGCCUAAUAUUAUAUAUUAGGAAUGAGAAUUAAAUAAUUUAAUGGUUAUAGUAAUUGAAGAAUGCUAAUAUUUAAAUUAUGUACUAGUAAAUCAAUGAAAUGAAUAAUAAUCAAUAGAUGAUUAGUUGAUAUGAUUAAUAAUAUAAAGAGAAGUAAGUUAAAACUCAAAAUUUGAGUUAGGGAAAUAAUUUUGAAGCACGAACUGCUCGGUUGCGUCCAGAACGUCAAAAAUAGUCAGAAAAGGUGGUAAACACAAAAUGUGUCAAGGUUGACUUUUUGGUCAAAGUCAAUAGUUGACUUUUUAGGGAGAAAAAUCCAAAUUGGAGAUAGAAGUGGAAUUUGAACACGCGGACAAGAUAAUUGAGUCUGUAACGUCAAAAUUAGUAAGAAUAGACUCUAAACACGAAAUGUGUCGGGGUUGACUUUUUGGUCAAGGUCAACAGUUGAAUUUUUUGAAGAAAAGUCAAACUUGAAAUUUGGAGAUGAAUUUAAAGAAAAGGAGGUGCCCAUGACGUUGGGAGUAUUGAAUUUAGUAGGAAUCGACUAUAAACUCAAAAAUUUGAGUUUUCCGGUUCGAAAGUUAAAACGAAAUUAAAUACGCAAAACGAGUAAAUAAAAGCGGGGCACACAACAUAAAAUCUGCUGAGAUUUUUAUCUAUGUGUUGUCCACCUAACCCACCCACUCCCAACCACUCCCAUUAAUGCUCACCAAUUCCUUCUCUCUCUCCUAAAUUAUUUAGUUAAAGGAAAGAAAGAGAAUGAAGUUAAAACAACUGUCUCUCUCUCUCUCUCUCAUUUAUUCACUUCAUGCCCGAACCAAUAGAGAGGAAGAGAGAGAAAGUGGCUGCCAUGAAAGAGAAGAAAAGAGAGAAAGAUGGGAGGAGAAUAAGAAAAAGAAAUUAAGAGGAGAAGAUAUCAAAAGGUAUAAACCUUAAACUUUGUUUAAUUUAUUUUGGUGGAUUAUGAUGAAAUAAAGAUAUUGUAAGACCCCAGCUUUUUAUAAAUAAAAAAAAUCGAAUUUCCUCUAUUUAUUAUUGUAAAUAAUAAGGUGUUAAUUUGAUAUAAUACUUUGGUUAUGGGUGAAAUGCGCAAAUUUUGCAAAAUAAGUAUAAAAUAUUCAUUGUUGUCGGGGAAUAUUCGUUUGGUCGUGGAAUAUUCUUGCUGUCGAGAAAUAUUCGUACGACGGCGCAACCAUUUGUGGGCCCCAUAACGGAAAUCUGUCGGAUGAAGAAAACGACAAGUUUGAGUUUUUAUAAAUAACGGCGUAAUGGUUACCGUCAACACUGUUGGAAUACCCGGUGGUUAAAAUACAGUAAUACGUGUGGUUGCAUAGUAGCACACGGUAUUGCACAGUAUUUUUGAAUUAUUGAUUCUUACGUAAGAAGGCACUACUCAAUAAUUGUUAAAGUAAUUAUUGUUCAAUAUUUUAUUUUAUUGAUUCAAUAAUUGCUACGUUGAUAUUUUAUAUUAUUCUUGUUUCAAUAAUUGUCACUGCACAGUAUCUCCAUCAUCAGAUGAAUAAUUCAUAUUAUUUGAAUAAUAUUGUUAGAUAGCAUUAUUGGCAAUAUCUAAGGAAGUUCUGUCUAGGAAAGGGGUUUGGUCACCUAAUUACGUGCCAAUAAGGAGAAAUCCUUAUCGGAAAGCCCCCUCUUUUUUGGGAACGACCUGGUUGUCAUUAUUGUGAUUCUGUAAUAUUUUUUGUGAAUAAUUAAUUAUUGACUUAUAUGAUAAGGAAAUAUUUAUUUUUAUGUGGAUAUAAAUAAUGGAUAUUUAUUUUAUGUGGAUAUAAAUGAAGGAAUAAAUGCUGAGGUAUUUUAUCAGUAUUUUGUCAGAAUAGAGGUGUUGAAAAUCGUCCGUAUGUGAAUUUCGGUCAUUUUUCGUUUGGAAUUUGGAAAAACUUAAACUUACAAAGUUGUAGAGAAACUAGCACUAAUUUUUAUGCUCAAAGCUUUCUUAAACUCUAAAAAAAUACGCUCAAGAUUAUAGAAGGAGAAUUCUCUAAACUUCAAGUGUGAUUUUCAAUUCUAACUAAGCAUCCUAUUUAUAGAAGAAUAGAAAGGAUACUAUGCUGCACUAUGCAAUAAAAUAUAAUAUAUUCUAUUUAUAAUCAAAUAAAACAAAACUUUAUAAAAAGUAUUCUGUUUUAUAUAAAAAGUUUUUACCAUGCAAACACUAUGCAACACUAUGCAUAAUAAAAUAUAAUAUAUUCUAUUUAUANNNNNNNNNNNNNNNNNNNNNNNNNNNNNNNNNNNNNNNNNNNNNNNNNNNNNNNNNNNNNNNNNNNNNNNNNNNNNNNNNNNNNNNNNNNNNNNNNNNNNNNNNNNNNNACAAUAAUUGAAUCAAAUAACGUGAGAUACUAUGCAGCAAUUACUGUACCAAUAAUUGAACAAAACUGAGUGACUUAUCACGUAAGCAUCAAUAAUCAAUACCGUGUGCUACUAUGCAACCACACGUAUUACUGUACUUUUAACACCGGGUGUUUCAACAGUUAACGGUAAAACUUCCACCGUUCAUAAAGUAUUUUUGUCAUUUUUUCAAUCCGACAAUAAUUCCAUUGUGGGGUCCACCAAUGAUUGUGCCGUUGUACGAAUAUUUCCUGUUAAAACGAAUAUUCCCCGACCAAUCGAAUAUUAUAUAACAACUUACGUACUUUAAAAAAUUUAUAAAUAUUACCCACAACUAUAAUAUUAUAUCAAAUUCAUUCCAUAAUAUUCAAAAAUGAUAUUUAUAGAAAAUUCAUCUUUAUUUAUAAAAGUUGGGGUCUUACAUCUCUCUUGUUCUUGCUAUUUCUCCCGCCUUCUCUCUCUUGUUCUUCCUCUUUCUUUCUCUAAUUAAAAAAUCAUAAUAGGUGAAAUGAAAUGGAUGAUACUUAGGUUUUUGUUUAUAUAAAACCCAGUUUCAAUUUCUUAUAAGUUGGUCAUCCAAUUUAAGUCUUCUCUAGUCUUUCCCCUCGUCUUUAAAAGCUUGCAAAUCACCUCCUAACAUAUUCUUAGCAUAUUCUCGAAAUAUUCUUUAUUCAUUAACAUAUUCCUUAAGAUAUUUUCUUAAGUUUCAAAUAUUAUGUUUUCACCACCAAGGUGUUCCAACUUUUCAUUAUUGUCCAUUAACUUUCUAGUUCACUUCCAUACUUCAUUAAGUUAGCAAAAUUUCGCUUUUGCCUUCUCCUAAUUCAUUAAGCUAGCAAAAAGUCUGUUUUGCCCUUUCGUACAAUUAACUAGGGUUCAAUUUUCGAGUUAUAUCGGUCACCCGAUUUCUUUAUAGUUAGAUUUUCCUAACUCGUUCAACAUACAAAAACCUCAAAACUUCUUUCGUUGAUUUUUAUUACAUCUGCCAUCCUCAAAUAAUAACUACGACGUAAAUUUGAAAUUCUCAAAAAAUUUACUUUCUCUAAAUAUCUCCAUACUCUCAUACAUCAUUACUUAACACCAAACUAGGCCAUUAAUCGACCUAAAUAACAUUAAUAGUAAUAAUAUCAAUAAAAUUUAUUUAUUUAUUAGAUAUUAUCCUCGUAAAAUCUAAUUUCAAGGCUAUCCGAAAUCUCGGGUUAUCACAUGUUCCCCCAUUGCAGGGUUGGUUCGCCUCGGACUUGGUACACAUUUUCGCACCAAAAUAAUUUUGUUUGGCAUAAUUUCUCAAAGAUCGCUUGAAUUUCAUAAACAUUUUUCAGCAAUCGUCUAGUCGAAUCAAAUAGAUUUGACAUACAUCAAUAGUUCAGACAUCAAUCGAAACAUUUUAGCCAACUCACUGGCAUAAUUUUUCAUAGUUUAAAGAAAAUCAAAAAUCAUUUUAUGACGUCAUGAUACCGUACCAUUUUGACAGUACGUUGAGGAUUUCAUCAUUUUAUGACUUUGUCAUACUACAAAAUACCAUAGUGGGCUAACGGUCUUAUGAUCACAUCCAACACCAGGUUCGAUUGCAUUAAUGAAUCCAUCAUUUAUCAUUCUACACCAUGUUGAAUGAUGCAGAUGAUUAUAUAGAAUACAUUUUGAUAAUUUCAAAUCAUUUUCAUCUAGCCAAAAUAAUUAGCAUAUACAUAUGAAUAAUAGGACUUUUAACACUUAUUGGUUUAAUACUCUAAUCCAAUAUUUUUCAAAAACAUAACUAUCAGCAUGAUGUCAAUAAAUUUCGAAAUCUAGAAUAACUAGAGGAUUUGAAAUAUCCAUUUUACCUUCAACAACUUUGACUUUUAUCCAUCGGCCCAUUAUCUAAUAAUUCUAUCUAUUUCUAGCAGCAUUAAUGCUCACUAUACUAAAAAUUCUUACAUCUCAACUUACAACCUUCAUAUACCCCAGUAUAAUUCAUCAAACUUACCACACGUUAUGAGUUUAUGAUUGCUACAAUAAUAUAAGUUUAGGAACUUGUCCUAGCAAUAUGCAGUCCAAGAACAAAUUAGGGACUCUGUCCAUACACUUAGGGGCUCAAAAACAUAUCAUAUGAUCAUGAGUCACAAACCAUAAACAUGAGAUUCAAGAACUCGCACGUAAUCUUAAUAUUCUCUAACUAUCAGAUAUAAAUAUAUAUGAGAAAAGAAUCACAUUCUCACCAUAAAUAUACUGAUAGCGGAAUACUAAGAUUUCAAUGAUUAUCAAUGUAAUAGACUAAGUGGUCGUUAAACCAACCACAAAAUCCAUUCCCAUAUAAAGAUUUGCAUGAUUCCUCAAUUGAAAUUCCCCAAAAAACAAGUUUUUUCUUUCCUUUAUGCGAAUUUUCUUUAAUUUGUCUCUCAUCAUCUACAACUCUUUCUGAGUUUUCUCGUUCUAUCUCAUAGUACAUUCUCUUAAUAGCGUCAGGUUAUAACUGUUCAAUCAUUUAACAUAUUAUCUGUCAUUUCACAAUUCCAUCUGAUCACGUCGUGAUCUUAUUUUACAAUCGUUUUGCAUUACAAUCUUCCUUAGUCUACGAUCUUCUCACUUUUCCAUUCAAUCAUGUUAUAUUAUGAUUUCAUUUAAGCUUCUUAACUUAUAUUUAUCAUUAUAUCUUUGAAUUUCUAUAAUUCAAUUCAGGUGUUCCCUGAUCCUCUUCAUUUUACUUUAUUAUAGCUCUUCCAGAUUCUUCUUUGAAUCUUCUUAUAUAUAUCUUAAUCAUUUUCUUUAUAAAUCUUCUAAAUUUAUUUCUUAUUGUUCAAAGUAUGUCCGAGUUUAUUCUUUAUCAGAUGACUUAAACUCUAUCUCAGUUUAUUUUUGUACUAUCUCCGUCCAUUUCACUCUGGUUAUAUCCUAAGGUACCUCUUCUUAAGGUUUAUAAUAUACAACUCUGAUACCAACUGUAACGCCCCUAAAAUCAUGAUAAAUUUCAUUCAUGAUCUUGUGCGUUAAAAUACAAUCACGAUCUAACAUCUUUACAUUAUUAAUCGAUGUUAUAAUCAAUAAAAAAAAUGCGAAUAAAUUUAAUUUUAUUACUUUCUUUUAUAUCCUAAAUUUUUAUCACAAUUUAACUUUAUUUUUGUUGUACAUAAUAGUCUUUGUCCAUAUAGAUAUUAAAACUUAGUUAUUGCAAUGUUUACUCAAUUGCAGAAUUCGCAACCUUUAACACAUGUACAAAUAUUCAGAGUCGUAUGUAUUCCAUAAUAUGAUUUGUGAUAUCCCGAAUAUAUAUUAGUAAUAUUUCUUUUAAGGGAAAUAUUAAAAGAUUAAAUAAAGUCUAGAGAUUUAACCUAAUUAUUAAUAAAAAAAAAUGUGAAAAGAGUGGAUUAAUUUUUUUAUUUUAUCUAUGUGCUAUAAAGAGCCCAUAGGAUAUAAAAUUAUUGGGAAUAGAGACUUUUAAGAUAAAAGACUCUAAUUAAGAAUGUAUGAGACAUUAUAAAUAUUACUUAUUCAUAAUGAAAAUAAAGUAAUAUGUGGAGUUAAAUAAAUUUUGUGAGAUGUAGUAAGUAAAUGUAUUAUUAAAUGUAUACAUUUAUUAUUCAAAAUGAAAAGAGAAGCCAAUAAGGCCUAAUUGGGAAAUAUUCUUGACAUAAACCUACCUAUGAGAUUAAUAAAAUAAUUAUAUUAUGAUAUAAUUAAUUUCAUUCAAAAGAGUGUAUGUAGUAACAAAUACGGAAGAUGGUUUGCACUACCAUAAGUUAUUUAACUACAUGAAACCAUCAUUUUUAACGAUGUAUAUGCUAAUUAUUUUGCUAGCUUAAAUAAAUGUGAUGCAUAAAUAUUUAUAUGUAUUAGUGACCACAUUUAACUAUUGGGCCAUAUUAAAUUGGUAUUUAGUAUUCUUGCAAGCUGCUACAUUAAUCUUAGGGGCAAAGGUCUAAAAAUACCCGACCUUGAUGUUUACCCCGAUGUCCCACUUACACCCUGAACCUUUUUUUUUCAAAAGUACACUUGACGUUGUAAAACGUAACUCAAUUAUGCCCCUCCCGUUAAAAAAAUUUCAGCUAGACAAACGGGCGUUGGUGGCGACCGACACGUGGCAAACGGGCGUUAUUUUCUCUUUCUUCUCCAACUUUUCUCUCUUUCUUUCUUUCUCNNNNNNNNNNNNNNNNNNNNNNNNNNNNNNNNNNNNNNNNNNNNNNNNNNNNNNNNNNNNNNNNNNNNNNNNNNNNNNNNNNNNNNNNNNNNNNNNNNNNCGGACGUCAGGGACAACCGACACAUGGAAAAAAUAAAAUGUAAUAAUCUUUUUUUUAUUAUUUUCUCUUUCUUCUCUAACGUUUCUCUCUCUCUCUUUCUUUCUCCCCCCUCCCUUUUUAUUUUCUCUCUCUAUUUUCUUCUUCUUCUGUUACAAAAAUAACAAAACUAAAAUGCAUUAAUCAUAACAAUCAGCACAUACCCAUUACAGAAACAACUCAGCAACAGCUCAUAGAAGUCGAGAAAAUCCCAAAAAAUUGGAUUUUUAAGGAAAAACAAAACGUGAUUCACAAUCAAAUGAAACCACAAGAUAAUCUUUUGCAAACAUUAUAGUUAAAGAAUUUAUACACACUAAUAAUCACAUAAUCCUCAUAAAGCAAAAUUGCUAUUACAUUAAACUAGUUGCAUUUACAGAUUCCAAAAGCAAGCAAUAGAUUACCCAGAAAAAGAAGGAAGAAGUGGAAUACAACAUGGUUGUUGAAAAAACAAGAAAUUUCUCGCAGAGAAAGGGAGAAGGAAAAAGGGCAUUGAUUAUUCACGUAACAAAAAAAGAAAUAGAAUUCAAUUGCGUAUUCCCCAAGAUUCCUUUUCCGUUUCCUACAUUUUUCGCAUCAACCAAAUCGACAGUAAAGAAGCAACUAAAUAAACAAAUAAAAGAAAAUUAAUCCCUUUUGAUUACCUGAUUAGACAAUGCAGAUGUGGAAGCAAUCUUUCAUGACUAUUCAGAAGAGCCGAAAGAUGGAAUUUCAGCCCCAAUACCCACUCGAAGAAAGUGAAAGUAAUUUUGGUUUAAGCCUAACUUUUUUUCCUCUCCGUUUUUUUCUGGGUUUUUUCCAGAUCCGAUCAAAAAAAGAUGGAGUUUUGAUAUUUGAGUUAUAAUUCCUUUUGAUUGAUUUGUCUGUAGGGAAUUCGUCGAUUAAUGGGUGGAAAAAGAGGGAACAGAGGAAGAAGAAAGGAGAAAGAGAAAAAAGGUAGAAGAAAUAGAGAGAGAAAAGUUGGAGAAGAAAGAAAAAAUAAUAAAAAAAGAUUAUUAAAUUUUAUUUUUGCCACGUGUCAGUCGCCACUAAUGCUCAUUUGUCCAGCUAAAAUUUUUUUAACGGGAGGGGCAUUGUUGAGCUAUGUUUUACAACGUUAAGUGUACUUUUGGGAAAAAAAAGUUUAGGGUGUAAAUGGGACAUCGGGGUAAACAUCAAGGGUAUUUUUGGACCUUUUCCUUUAAUCUUAGUGUUAAUAAUUUUCUUGCUAUACCAGAAGAGCGUAAUAAGUCCAAGGAGUUAAUUAGUCCUAACUUGGUAUCUAACCCAAUUCGAUAGCCUCAUUGAUGGAACUGUUUAGUAGUUUGUUAGCUUGCAAGCCUUAAAAUUUCUUAAGUGCUAUAAGUUAUUUCAUUGAGCCUAAAACAAAACCAUUAUCAAUCCUUUUUCUUUGAGCAGUCCGGUAAUCCACAUGGGAAGAAUGAAGAAUUAAGUCUUGGUAAAUAACCAAGUUAACAAUUAGUUCAUUUAGCAAAUUGGUUAUCAAUUAAGUUGGGAAGCUAGCAAGGAUAGCUGGCAGUAGAGUGGCUGGGAUAAGGCUAAAAAUUAGGGGCCAAGUAGACUGUAGAGUAGUAGGAGACUGCUAAGCCUUGUAGGGGUUGUGUAGUGGUAAUGAUGAAGGCUAAUGUAGGGGACGGAUAGGAGCUAAAGAGAGCAGCCAGGUAGAGAUAAUGAUGGAGAGCAGCAAUAUGCCAAGUAGGUUGAUUGAGAGAGAGAGAAAGCUCAGCCAUAUAUGACCAUACAAUGCACCUGAAAUCAGAUAACUUCUUUACUUAUCCAAGUUCCAAAAGCAAUAUCAAUACCAGUCCAUUAGAUUGAGAGAGUAGCAAAGCUACGACUGGAAGGGAAGGAAGGAUUGAGCAUCAAAGCUACUUUAAUAUCUAGAAGUUAGCAAGUUAAGCAAUCUUAGAGUCUUUCCAUUCCUUUUCCAUUUCAUAUUUGAUAGUAGAAUGGGUUUUUAGUGGUUAUAGUAUUAAAUAAGACUAUGGUGGUUGUUAUGAUAAUAUUAGAGCUUUGUGUGGUUGUUGAGGCAUUAUACGGAGACCCUUAAUAAAUCAAAAGCCAAAAGACUGGGGAAAAUAGAAAGGAAAUUUGUGGAUACAUGUAAAUAAAAUCAUGUUCACCAACUGUUUGAUUAAAUGUCGAAGUAGGGGUUGUUAUAGUUUAAAAAUAUGCUAGCUAUGAAUUAGAGUCCAAAUCAUGUUUACACGCUCAUAUAUUGAUAUGAAUGCCUCAAACAUCAUAUGCUUCUUUAUUAUUCCAUUCUUUAUUAUUCUGUCGGAAUCUCCCGUCUGUGCGUUUACGCCGGACCUGGUUCCAUUAUUUGUUAUUAUAUUGGAAUAACCUGUUUAUGCGAAGUACUGCAUACAUGGUGAAAUUCUUCUGUUAUUCCAUUCUUUAUUAUUCUGUUGAAACAUCCUGUCUAUGCUUUACGCAUGACCUGGUUCCAUUAUUUAUUAUUCUGUUGGAAUAACCUGUCUGUGCGGUCUAUCGCAUGCCUGGUGAAUUCUUCUGUUAUUUCAUUAUUUAUUAUUCUGUUGGAAUAUCCUGUCUGUGCGUUUACGCAUGACCUGGUUCCAUUCUUUAUUAUUCUGUUGAAAUAACUUGUCUAUGUGGAUUACCGCAUGCAUUAUAAAUGAUCCUUCGUAUUCAUACGAAUAGUAUUUUCAUUAAAAAGGGGUUUCUGUCAGGGGCAGUUUCGUAAUUUUUCUGACCCUCAAAAAUUCUGGAAAAAUUUGAAAUGAUAAUUUGAUGAGUUUUCUAGAUUGUGUCCAAAAAUGACGAUUUUUGGGAUGUAUAGAUUAAGAGUUAUGGAUUUUAUGGGAAAAGACUAUUUUAAAAGUAAACCCUUAUAAAGCCUUGUGGUUAACUUCAAAAUUGGUAAAAUUUUUAUUGGGAGUACAUGUAUAUAACAGAAGUAUAACCCUGUAAAUUUCGGAAUUUUUAGACAAACGUACAAUUUAUGAUAAAUGUCUAAAUAUUCGGCAGUUUUAGCCAUAUGAAAAAUAGUAAAUGAAUUUUAAAAAUUCUGAGAAAAAUAUAUGUUCAAUAUGGGACUAUAUUCUGCUAAAUCCCAGAAAAGAAAUAUUUUUGGGACUGAUUUGGUAUUUUUCAUGAAAAUGAACUAGUUAUGAGUAAAUGAAUUAAAUAUGUUAUGUGAAGUAAUAAAAUUGGAAAAUAGGAUUUUAUGGCUUGAGAAUCCUAUAUAGGGUAUAUGCAGAUUUUUGAUGAGGGAUUUGAUCAUUGAUGAUGAAAUCUUAUGAGUAUGGCAUUUUUGAAUGAUUAAAUGCAUUAUUUGAUAAAGUGUAAACAAUUGAAAUAAAUUGUUUAUAAGUUUAAGAAAUGAUUAAAAUAUUGUUAUAAUAUUAAUGAUAUUAGAUUAUGAGAUUAUUAAGUGAUUGAUAACAUUUGGUUAUUAUUGAACGCUGGAUAAAUUGUAUUAUAAAUGUUUAAUAUUUAUCAUUUAUCUCAUUUGAUUAAUUCUUAUAUCAUUGUCAUCAUCCUCAUGCUUAUAUUAUAUUGAAAGUUAUCUUUGGUCGUAGUGCAUAGAUGGACUUGGUAUGAUUAUGACCAGGGAUUAUUCGGUAUAAUCAUGACCGUAAUGUUACAAAUGAUGUGGAAAAAGUCCUCAUUGGCCCGUAGUGCAUUGAUGAACAGUUUUUGGUAUGAUUAUGGUUAUGGAUUCUCUUCGGCCAAGGGUGCAAAGAUGAAUUGUUUUAUGGCAUGAUCUUGACCGUUGAUGAAAAUACGAUUAUCUUUUGCCGUAGUGCAUGGAUAAUUCGUGGUCGUGAUAUUAACGAAUAUCCUUAGCCGUAGUGCAUGGAUAAUUCAGUAAUAUGGAUUGAUUAUCGAGCUGAGUCUCAGCGAUGAAAUAUAAAUUCAUAGAUGUGAUAUUAACGAAUAUCCUUGGCCGUAGUGUAGGGGUGAUUCGAUGAUGGGGAUUAUUUAUUAAGCUGAGUCUCAGCGAUAAAAUAUUUAUUAUACACUUUUAAUUCGUAGAAGAUAGUAGAUAUCAUGCUCUACUUGACUCUUCUAAAAUACAGUUGUAUGUCUUUGGCAUGUAGUGCAAAAAUGAAUUGUUAAUUAAAAUCUUUGGCCGUAGUGCAAAGAUGAAUUUAUUAGUAUGAUUAUGAGCAGGAAUUCUGAUUUGGUAUAACCAUGAUUUUUGAUGUUUCAGGUGAAGAUAGGUGAUGAAAAUUAUCUUCGUCCUGGUUGCGAAGAGGAAUUUAGAACCACAAUUAUGAUUAUGAGUUAUUCAUAUGAUUGUGGACAGGAACUGUUGAUUUAUUUUACAUGGAUAAAACAUUAUUGGUGGACUUUUAACAUAGAGAAGAUAAUAGACCUUAUGGUCUAUUUGACUCUUCUAAUGGAUUGCUCGUUCCGCUGCAACUAUGGUUGAAAAGUUUUAUCAUCUACCAUAUGUUCUAAAUCUCUGAUUUAUUAUUGAUGAAAGCUAUUGAUAAUUUAAUUAUCUUUAGUCAUGAUAUUCUUUACUGGGCUAGUUGUGCUCACCCUUUCUGCUUCACAAUUCCUUUCAGGUAAUAAGAGUGUUGCCGUAAGAGUGUUGCCGGGUCGAGCGGGGAUAACAGGGGAAUAGAACAGUGGUCUCUAGCUGUGGAGGUUCUCCCUAAACAGUAUAGAAAAGUGUGUUGUAUUCUAUACAUCAUUUAGUAGUUAUAUUUGGUGAAUCAAAUAGGGUGAGGCGAACCCAACUUUGGAAGGGUGUUUUGCCACUAUCAUACAAGAUGUCUAAUGACAUACAACCUCGUGUUAUCAUAAGACAGGGUUGUGCACAUCCACUUGCUGAGUAUAUCUACGAGCACUACCUAUAUGAUCUUGGAGUUUAUUUGAAAUAUAAUUUUCACUUGGAGACAGUGGAGAUAGUUAUAUGUCAAGAGAAGACUCACCAUUGGAAAGAAGAUGAUAGUAAUCUUCUCGUUUUUCUUUGGGGUCUAUUGGGUCAACCAAGGAUAAUUCUGUGGACAUAUGAUAUCUAUCAUAACCUAGACGCAUGGCCUCCCAUGUACGAAGGUUUCCUUGAGCACUUCCCAAAGAUUUUAAUUUCUAAAACAGUUUUUGACUAUACUUUUAUGUAAAGUACCAUUGUAAGGUUGUGGUCGAGGCACCAUGAGAGUUACAUACAUUUGUAUUAAAACUCACAGUUAACUGUGGUCGUAUUCUAUACGACAGUUCAACAGUUGUAUAAAUGAAGUUGUAUAAAUGAAGUUGUAUUUAAAUUUUGUACCAUGUAUCUGGCGACUCAGAAUGGGUGAUGUAUACCUAAUUUUGGGGGCGUCAUAACCUAUAUACUAUGAUAAUUUUAUUUUAAAUAGUAGAGUACCAUACUCCACGAUCGUAGAGUGCAACUCCACGAUCAUAGAUAUCAACUUAAGAGUCAUCUGCGGACCCCCACUUUGAGUCCCAAAUUGGAAUACUGUAAAUUGAUGUUCCCAGACCAAUGAAAGAAGAAUUAAAAGCCUAUUAGGGACUAUUUUGAACAAAAGAUAAAAUCUCCGCAUUUAGAUAUAUUAAACCAUGAACAUAUAGUAUACAGAAAGUACUUAUUAUGAUAAAACUUAUACUUGAAAGCUUGAAGGCUGUUAUGGUAGUUUAGUACUAACUCAUGUUAAUAAUGCCUAAAAAUGAGUUGUUUUGGUAUUGGUACAUGAGAAAAGUUUCAAGCUUGUUAAAGUUUGUGAUGAUGAGUUUUAAGGAUCAUUUAAAGCUUAUAUGAAUGCUUAGAUAACCCUUGAAUCAUAGCUUGGAGACUGUUUGUGAGUAAUAGCUAAAAAUGUGCUUAAACUCUAGAUUAGAGGAAUGUUUUUGGUCAAGGUCAGUACCUGAACUUUUGAGUCAGUAAGGAGACUAUAAUAUGUCCAUAAUAAAAAUUUAAAAGUUGUUCCUUCACUUAGUUGAGGUCCAUAUUGAGUACUACUCAGUUUUUAUGUUUAAGGGCCAUGAAAAGUAAGCUUUAAAGUGUCAUCUAACACUUAAAAGAAGAGAGGCCAAACCUGGACCUUGUAGGUAAGUUUCAAUAGCUAUAAUAUGGCAUAAGUAAGCUACAUAAGUUAAAGAAACCAAGUCUAAACCGUUUUGAAUAUUAGACUUGUUAAAAAUCAUGUUUUAUAGGCCAAAAGUGGUCUGUUUUGGGUAAAUUUUAGUACCUAAAUUUGUAAGACUAUAAUGAACUCAUAUAAAGUUGCUAAUGCAUGCUGGUGAUGAUUUUUGAUCAUUUCCAUGACCAAAGUUAGUAAGAAAACCAAGUUAGGAUCUAUUUUUCAAGCUUAAAAUGAGUUUUGAUAGGUCAAAAUUGGCAAGAUGACUAAACAAAGUGAAAUGAUGAUAAAAGUAACCAUAGGCAACUAAAAUACAUAUGUCUAGACUAUUAAAGUAGCCAAAAAUGAAAGAAAUUUAAGAAGUGUCGAAAUUAGUUUUGGGAAAAAAGUGUUAAACUGUCCAGUUUGAGCCUCAGUUAAAGUAGGACUAACUGAUAUGAAUGAGGACCAUAAACCUUAUUAAAAUAUCUUGGUAUGUGGUCUAAAAGUAGGGCUAGAUGAUAGAGAUAAAAUCUUAACCAAGAAAUUCCAACAAAUCAUCAAAGUAGACAAUAAACUCAAUUCUGCAACAAUUGGGUAGUAAAGUGACUCGGUAGAUGGUAGAGUGAAAAACUCAGCAGAUGGUAGAGUGGAAAACUCAGCAGAUGGUAGAGUGACUCAGCAAAUGGUAGAGUGGCUCUGCAGAUAGUAGAGUGGUUCAGUAGAUAGUAGAGUGGCUCUACAGAUAGUAGAGUGGCUCAGAAGAUGGUAGAGUGGAAAACUCAGCAAAUGGUAGAGUGGAAAACUCAACAGAUAGUAGAGUGGAAAACUCAGCAAAUAUUAGAGUGAGAACUCUGAAAAUUGUAGAGUGGUCUCUAAAAAUCGUAAAGUGAACUCUGAAAAUAGUAAAAUGACUCUCAAAAUCGUAGAGAGAACUCUAAAAUUCGUAGAGUGAACUCUGAAAAUCGUAGAAUGACUCUCAAAAUCGUAGAGUGAAAAUUGUAGAGUGCAUAUAAUAGAGUAAAAAUGGGUAAACACCCUAGUUUGUGCCCAAUUUUGGUUAACUUCUAUAACUAAAUUUAAGAAACCAAACUCAAGGCAAAAUACUAUGAUAUAUGAUCUAAAUGCUUACACAAAUAAAAGAUCAAAUAUGUUAACCAUAAAGUCCAAAAACAUCAUCAAAGUGGCCUAAAAAUUCACUUUUGCUGCAGUUGAUAGUAGAGUGGAAAUGUAAAACACCCAUUUUGAGGCACUACCUUAAGAAGCCUUAAGAGGUUGUUUCAGUUGACUAACUAUGGAAUAAAAUACUAUAAUGUAUGGCUUAAAAGCUUGUUCAAACUUAGAAGGCAAAAGCUCAUUACAAAGAUUCAUAAAAAUCCCCAAAGUACCCUAGAAAAUCAUAUUUUCUAUUUUUGAAUAAUGAUGGAAUAAUGGGAUUUGAUUCCUGGAAAUGUCACAGCAUAACGUAAGAUCAUAUUUGAAGUGUAUAAUGAUCAAUGAUUUUUAUCAUGUUAUGAUUGGACCAAAAUGAGUAUAUUUGAGAAUGUAUAAGAACUAAGUAUGUAAUGUAUACUAUGUGUGUAUGAUCACAAAGUGAUGAACAAAGGCUAUAUGUCUAAUCUAAGUCUAAGGAACUUAGAUGAGUAAGGUUUAACCAAGUAAGGUAUGUUGUAAUGGUUUGAUACACACACAGUAAAUUACAAGUGCGAUAAACUAGCACAUGUGGUGAUGAAAGGAAAAUAAAACCGAGUUAUAUAAAUAACAAAGUUUAAUAUAAAAAAGGUAUAAGGACAAUAUAAGUAAAAGUAGGUUAUUAAAGUAAUGUUAACCAUGAGAUCAAGUAUUGACGAUGUUUAUUAUCAAUCUCACAUACCUUGUAGGUCAUGCAAAGGAACACGACAGGUUAACGGUAAAACACCUGUACAGACAAGUUUUUCAGAACUUGUUUUUAUAUGUGAACUUGUUAAUUGUUAUGUGCACAUACUUCCUGUAUUAUAUGUACUUCUUGUGAAUAAUUUGAGAUGUACGCUAUGUGUUAUACUAUGAUAUAAAUCUAUUGAAUCAAGUUAAUGAUUGAUGUGGAUUGAGUUAUGAAAACUCACUAUAUUCGUGAUAUGAGAUAUAUGAUAAGCAUGAGGCACGUAUAACUGUUGAGUAUGAAAAUUAUGAUGCCUGAAUAAAUGCAAAGUAUGAGAAACACGAAUUAUGUAUAAACUGCGGAGCAUUAACAAUUUAAAGUGUGUUUAAAAUGUGAACUUUGUAUUAUGUGAUAAUUGUUAAACUUAUUGGGCAACGUAGUUGCUCACCCUUGCUAUAAAUAAUUGUUUACAGCUAAACCAGAACGGAUCGAAGGAUUUAUGAUAGACACGUGAAAAAAGGAAGAAAUAUUGAUUGAAGUUAUUUGUUUAGUUCUAGCUAUGCUAGAGAACAUUCAUAUGACAUAUUGUAAUUGUAUAAUCAAAGAAGAUUGUAUAGAAGAAUAGUUAAGUCUAGUUGUGAGUUCAUGGAUACUUAAAAUCCAAUAUAUUUAAGUGAAACAUAUUAUUUAUAACUUGAACUGUAUAAUAUAAAUCAAUAUAAUUUAAAAGUGUA